Non-coding RNA from Delitschia confertaspora ATCC 74209, 88 nucleotides. The record is from the annotation of a GenBank genome assembly. NCBI's taxonomy places the organism in Eukaryota, Fungi, Ascomycota, Dothideomycetes, Pleosporales, Delitschiaceae.
GGGCGUGUGGCCAAGUGGGCAAGCUCGUGUCAUAGCUCCAUGAGGGAUUUUCUCCCCUAUGGCGUGGGUUCGAACCCCAUCACGCUCA